Molecule: long non-coding RNA, 582 nt
Filed under: Citrus sinensis (sweet orange)
Lineage: Eukaryota; Viridiplantae; Streptophyta; Magnoliopsida; Sapindales; Rutaceae
Description: long non-coding RNA (CSIN_LNC004416)
Source: RNAcentral
AUGUUGGUUAUUUAUUUUUAUUUUUGAAAAAAUGGCUUUUUUAUUUGCCAUUGUCAGUGUUGUGUACAGAAAUUGUGAUUUAUUAGGGAAUGAAAGUAAUUAGAUAUUGACAUUGAACAAGUGUCAACAGGGAGGUCAUCAAAGGCUGAAUUCUUUUCACAAGAUUGUCACUAUCAUUUUGUCAUUUUUAAGUACAAAUGGUGAGAUCGAGUUUUCAUGACUAGACUUGCUGUUUAGGCGCUGAUUAGGAACCCCCAAUUGAGAUCAAAAUGGGUAAGUGGUGUUAUGCGCCUGAGCUCUACGGUGGUUGUUGAUGGUUUUGCUGUAAGGCAGAAGUGGUUGCAGGAAGCUUACAGAUGCAAGUUUGGAGAAAGUUGCGGAUGUUACUAACAAGUAAAUUUAACAGCAUGAACUUAUUAUAUAAAAUACAGAAGUUUGAGGGGAGCUAAAUGUUGAAGCUCCCCAAUAAUAGUAAUAAGCAACUCGUCCAUUUGAUUCAUCAACUUCUAAACAAAUUAGGUUGCUGCUGCUCUCUCCAGCUACCAGAAAGGCCAAGUAUUCUUCUUCAAUUUGUGGCUUUUA